UCUGACAUAUAUUUAGAUAACCCACUCAUGACUGAUCCAUACAAAUUGAACAACAAGAUUCAAUUACAUGGGAAAAUAACAACUACAAGAACUAACAACAUCAAAUAUCUAAGACUUCAAUCUUCAUUCUUCACUGCUCCGUGCAGGCAUAUAGUAAGUCGACAGUUCCUCAACCUGAACAUUAGACAAGUGGAAACAUUAGUAAGCUACCAUUGGCAAGUGGAAACAUUACUUAAGAUUAAAAAAUAAGAUGAUGGUUGAGGAUGGCAAAUUACCAUUGGCCUGCCUAGAAGCACAUCUUGCUAAAUGAGCAUGUAGAUGUGAGCUUCCAUACUUUGGAUCUCCACAAAAUAGCCCGUGACACCAUACACAUUCAGCCUUCCAUUUUUCCUCAACAAGAACCCUAUUGAACUCAUUCCAAAC
Molecule: long non-coding RNA, 423 nt
Filed under: Triticum aestivum (bread wheat)
Lineage: Eukaryota; Viridiplantae; Streptophyta; Magnoliopsida; Poales; Poaceae
Description: long non-coding RNA (TAES_LNC006361)
Source: RNAcentral